RNAcentral lists this unclassified non-coding RNA (202 nucleotides) under Hevea brasiliensis (rubber tree). The record is from RNAcentral. Lineage: Eukaryota; Viridiplantae; Streptophyta; Magnoliopsida; Malpighiales; Euphorbiaceae.
GAAGCCUGUGAAUUGAAGAAGUCAGUUGCUCCAUGCUUUCAAUACUUUCUCUAAGAGUUGCAUUUUCAAUUUUCAUUCUGGCAAAAUCCACAGCAGACUUCCGAGAAGAGUAUUUUUCUUCAUUAUCCACAUGAGCUGCAGCUCCACUUCCACUGAUUUCUGGUGUACCUACCCAACGUCUCAGAUACGUACCCUUCAGCAA